UGAACCUAAUUCUCUUUAAGCCAACCUCGUAAUCAUAAUUUUCCCCAAAUAAACAUUGGUGGAGUUCUUUGUAAAUUUAAUCCUUCUUAAUUUGAUAAAUUUGGUAAUUGGUUAAGAAUAUAGCAUAAAAGAAGAUAUUAGUUUUUGCUUAUGUUGUUAUUUAUUUGUUCGAAAACAUGCCAGAGGUGAUUCUUUUAUCGAUGGAGGAUUUAAAGCAUGGAACAAAAAAGAAAGAUUAAAUUUGCAUGUUGGUGAUUGUAAAAGUGCUCACCACCGAGCUGUCAUAAAAUGCGAAAAUUUGAUGAAGCAAAAAUAGUUUAUAGUGGCCGCGCUUCAUAAACAACAAGAGCAAGCUAAAAUUGAGUACCAAACUAGAGUUAUUGCAUCAAUUGAUUGUUUGAGUUUUUUACUACGGCAAGGAUUGGCAUUUUGUGGCCAUGACGAGCAUGAAUGCUCAAACAAUAGAGGGAAUUUUCUUGAACUUUUACAAUGGUAUGCUAAUCGAAAUAAAUGUGUAGAAAAGGUUGUGUUAGAAAAUGCUCCAGGAAAUCAACAAAUGACUGCACCUUCCAUUCAGAAGGACAUUGUUCAUGCUUGUGCCAAAGAAACAACUAGGGCCAUUAUUAAUGAUCUUGGUGAUGAAUUUUUAGAGAUAUUAGUUGAUGAGUUCGUGAUAUAUCACAUAAAGAGCAAAUGGCUCUUGUUUUGCGUUAUGUUGAUAGAAGGGGAGUUGUGAUUGAGUGAUUUAUUCGUCUUGUUCAUGUGGUUGAUACAUUUGCUUUGUCACUAAAGGAAGCAAUUGAUUCUUUGCUUGCUAAACAUUCAUUGAGCUCAUCUAGGAUACGUCGACAAGGUUAUGAUGGAGCUACCAACAUGCAAGGGGAGAUCAAUGGCCUAAAAACCUUAAUUAUGAGGGAAACUGAAUCAGCAUAUUUCAUUCAUUGUUUUGCUCAUCAACUUUAGCUAACACUGUUGCAUUUGCAAAAAAUAAUGAUGACGUUACUUGGUUGUUUAACUUAGUUGAUAAUGUGUUAAAUGUGGUUGGAGCUUUUUGCAAGCGAAGAGAUAUUCUCGAGGAGAAGCAAGCUAAAAAGGUUAAAAAAAAGCAUUGAAUGAUGGUGAACUUCAAACUGGACGUGGCUUAAAUCAAGAAAUUGGACUCAAAAGACCAGGCGAUACUCAUUGGGGAUCUCAUUAUAGAUCAUUUUUUGAAUUUGGCUAUUAUGUAUUAUCCUAUCAUUGACAUGCUUGAAAUUAUAACAAAUGAUGUGCUUAAAUUAUGUUUUCUUCUACUAGUCACUUUUGAAUUUGACUAUUGAAAUUAUAACAAUUGAUGUGCUUAAAUUAUGUUUUCUUCUACUAGUCACUUUUGAAUUUGACUAUUGAAAUUAUAACAAUUGAUGUGCUUAAAUUAUGUUUUCUUCUACAGGUCACUUUUGAAUUUGACUAUUAUGUUUUCUUCCAUAAUUGAUGUGCUUGAAACUAUUGCAACUAAUAGCCUUCAUUCUGAUUAAAGAAUUCAUGCACAAGUUCUUCUUGAUUCAUUAUAAUCUUUUCAAUUCUCUUUUACCUUACAUUUGAUGCAAAGGAUAUUAGGGAUCACAAAUGAGAUGAAUGUAGCUUUGCAAAGAAAAGAACAAGAUAUUGCCAAUGCUAUGACAAUUGUUAAAUUGGAGAAGCAACACUUGCAGUUGAUGAGAGAAGAAAAGUGGGAAUCUCAUUUAGAGUGGUUUCUUCAUUUUGUGAGAAGCAUGACAUCUCAAUCCCUAAUAUUUUAGACUUAAAUGUUCCUCAAAGAAGGUCAAGACGUAAAGUUGCAAAGAUUGCAAAUUUACACCACUACCGCGUUGAGUCAUUUUACAAAAUUAUUGAUAUGCAACCUUAGAAGUUUAAUGACCGUUUCAAUGAGGUUAACACAGAAUUGCUUGUUUGUGUGGUUUGCUUGAAUCUGGCUAGUUCUUUCUCUUCUUUUAACAUAAAAAGGUUAGUUAGAUUAGCUCAAUUUUAUCCAUUAAGUUUUCAAAUGUUGAGCUCUUGACACUUGAAAACCAACUUGGAAACUUUAUUUUUGAUAUGCGUCAAGAUAAUAGGUUUCAUGAAUUGAAAGGGCUUAGUGAUCUUUCUACAAAAUUAGUUGAAACAAAAAAGCAUAUUGUGUGUCCACAGAUGUAUUUACUUUUGAAGCUUGCACUUAUUCUACCUGUCACUACUGCAACUAUGGAACGAGCUUUUUCAGCAAUGAACUUUAUCAAG
Molecule: unclassified non-coding RNA, 2253 nt
Filed under: Hevea brasiliensis (rubber tree)
Lineage: Eukaryota; Viridiplantae; Streptophyta; Magnoliopsida; Malpighiales; Euphorbiaceae
Source: RNAcentral